RNAcentral lists this ribosomal RNA (201 nucleotides) under Escherichia coli. RNAcentral's name for it is "partial 16S ribosomal RNA". It matches the Rfam family "Bacterial small subunit ribosomal RNA", at positions 131 to 334 of the family's 1533-position model. RNAcentral also lists the same sequence under 1 other name. The record is from RNAcentral. Lineage: Bacteria; Pseudomonadati; Pseudomonadota; Gammaproteobacteria; Enterobacterales; Enterobacteriaceae.
CGAUGGAGGGGGAUAACUACUGGAAACGGUAGCUAAUACCGCAUAACGUCGCAAGACCAAAGAGGGGGACCUUAGGGCCUCUUGCCAUCGGAUGUGCCCAGAUGGGAUUAGCUAGUAGGUGGGGUAACGGCUCACCUAGGCGACGAUCCCUAGCUGGUCUGAGAGGAUGACCAGCCACACUGGAACUGAGACACGGUCCAG